CCUAAUACAUGCAAGUCGAGCGGAUUGAUGGGAGCUUGCUCCCUGAUAUCAGCGGCGGACGGGUGAGUAACACGUGGGUAACCUGCCUGUAAGACUGGGAUAACUCCGGGAAACCGGGGCUAAUACCGGAUAACUCAUUUCCUCGCAUGAGGAAAUGUUGAAAGGUGGCUUUUAGCUACCACUUACAGAUGGACCCGCGGCGCAUUAGCUAGUUGGGGAGGUAACGGCUCACCAAGGCGACGAUGCGUAGCCGACCUGAGAGGGUGAUCGGCCACCCUGGGACUGAAACACGGCCCAAACUCCUACGGGAGGCAGCAGUAGGGAAUCUUCCGCAAGGGACAAAAGUCUGACGGACCAACGCCGCGUGAGUGAUGAAGGUUUUCGGAUCGUAAAGCUCUGUUGUUAGGGAAAAACAAGUGCCGUUCAAAUAGGGCGGCACCUUGACGGUACCUAACCAGAAAGCCACGGCUAACUACGUGCCACCAGCCGCGGUAAUACGUAGGUGGCAAGCGUUGUCCGGAAUUAUUGGGCGUAAAGCGCGCGCAGGUGGUUCCUUAAUUCUGAUGUGAAAGCCCACGGCUCAACCGUGGAGGGUCAUUGGAAACUGGGGAACUUGAGUGCAAAAAAGGAAAGUGGAAUUCCAAGUGUAGCGGUGAAAUGCGUAAAUAUUUGGAGGAACACCAGUGGCGAAGGCGACUUUCUGGUCUGUAACUGACACUGAGGCGCGAAAGCGUGGGGAGCAAACAGGAUAAGAUACCCUGGUAGUCCACGCCGUAAACGAUGAGUGCUAAGUGUUAGGGGGUUUCCGCCCCUUAUUGCUGCAGCUAACGCAUUAUCACUCGGCCUGGGGAGUACGGUCGCAAGACUGAAACUCAAAGGAAUCGACGGGGGCCCGCACAAGCGUGUGAGCAUGUGGUUUAUUUCGAAGCAACGCGAAAACCUUACAA
RNAcentral lists this ribosomal RNA (947 nucleotides) under Rossellomorea vietnamensis. RNAcentral's name for it is "bacterial SSU rRNA". It matches the Rfam family "Bacterial small subunit ribosomal RNA", at positions 47 to 976 of the family's 1533-position model. The record is from RNAcentral. Lineage: Bacteria; Bacillati; Bacillota; Bacilli; Caryophanales; Bacillaceae.